This 712-nucleotide small RNA is filed under the name Pan troglodytes (chimpanzee). RNAcentral's name for it is "retained intron". Lineage: Eukaryota; Metazoa; Chordata; Mammalia; Primates; Hominidae. The record is from RNAcentral.
UCAGGAGGCUGAGCAGGAGAAUCACUUGCAGUGAGCUGAGGUCAUGCCACUGCGCUCCAGCCUGGGCGAUAGAGUGAGACUCCAUCUCAAAAAAAAAGAAAAAGUUAUAUUUCCCAGAGAAAAUAUGGAUAUUUGAAUAAGAAAGGGGUCUAGAAUAAAAAUGGAAUAUGCACGAGGCCUAUGUGAGUAUGGAGAAGGAGAGAGGGACAUACACAGUUGCUAUCCAAAAGGAUCUGGUAUUACUGAGCAAGAGGCAGGAGUUUAUACUUACGUUUAGUUUGACUCAAACUCUGAUGCUUUCAGUAUGCUUGACAGAGAUGUGAGUGUGUGAUACACUCUUAUGAUUGUUUUUUUUCCCCCCCCCCAGCAGCAUCUGGAAUCAAGAGACCCAUGGCAUCUGAGGUGCCUUAUGCCUCUGGCAUGCCCAUCAAGAAAAUAGGCCAUAGAAGUGUUGAUUCCUCAGGAGAGACAACAUAUAAAAAGACAACCUCAUCAGCCUUGAAAGGUGCCAUCCAGUUAGGCAUUACCCACACUGUGGGGAGCCUGAGUACCAAACCAGAGCGUGAUGUCCUCAUGCAAGAUUUCUACGUGGUUGAGAGUAUCUUCUUUCCCAGCGAAGGGAGCAACCUGACCCCUGCUCAUCACUACAAUGACUUUCGUUUCAAGACCUAUGCACCUGUUGCCUUCCGCUACUUCCGGGAGCUAUUUGGUA